RNAcentral lists this ribosomal RNA (253 nucleotides) under uncultured bacterium. RNAcentral describes it as "partial 16S ribosomal RNA". It matches the Rfam family "Bacterial small subunit ribosomal RNA", at positions 524 to 776 of the family's 1533-position model. The record is from RNAcentral.
UACGUAGGGGGCUAGCGUUGUCCGGAAUCAUUGGGCGUAAAGAGCGUGUAGGCGGCCCGGUAAGUCCGCUGUAAAAGUCAAAGGCUCAACCUUUGAAUGUCAGUGGAUACUGCCGGACUAGAGUUCGGAAGAGGCGAGUGGAAUUCCCGGUGUAGCGGUGAAAUGCGCAGAUAUCGGGAGGAACACCAAUGGCGAAGGCAGCUCGCUGGGACGUUACUGACGCUGAGACGCGAAAGCGUGGGGAGCAAACAGG